CCACUUUCGAGAGACCGUGUGCUGGAGCCUCCUCGGAGACACCCUCCUGUGGCGCCACUGCCUUCGUCCUAGCGGGGACCCGGUUGCCGCGUCUGCGCAGCGGUACGAUCCUGGGGGAUCCUGGGUAGGUCCGUACCUUUCCUGGGCUUCGGUUUCCGGGUCUGCCGGGUGGGCCCUGGGGGGCUUCAGUGCUGCAUCCAGUUGGUUCUGAAUGCGGGGUUGGCAGAUUUGUCCCAAUUCACAGAGAUCGGUAGCUGCCAAGGGCACCAGCACACCCCCACCCCGCUCCUCUGGCCACCUCACGUCAGUGAACCAGAAGGAGGCGUGCGGGAUAUUUUAGUUAGCGGGGUGGGUGCUCCUGCGGGCAGAGGGGCCCCAGCGCAGCCCACUGUGGCCCAAGUGUGCUGGGGUCCUCCCGCAGGCGGAGGGCAGUGGGAGCCCCGGGCCCGCUGGAGGCCAGUGGGCAGGAGCUGAGGCCUCCAGCGACAGGCUCUGGGUAUUUCUGCCCCUGCCCACACCGUUGUGGCUCAUUUAUCAGACAGGUGUGACCUACCAAAACGUGUCACCAAAGGCCAGGGCCGAGUGGGGACCCGAUGGGGUGCAAGUUGACCGUUGCAUUUGGUAGCUCUGGGCAUGUGGUGGGGGUGCCCACCCUUACAGGUCAGCGCCGCGUCCCUGCCCCACCGUCCCCUGCAGCACCGGACUCUUCUCUCCCUGUGCCAGAGCCUUCAGAGGCUCCCCAGCACCCGGAGGAGAGAGUUCUAGGUCUGACCUUGGCACUGGAGGCCCCUGCGGAUAUUGUGGGCACCUUGAAGAGUGGGGAUGCGGGAACACAGGUGCCCUGUUUGGUGACCGCUGGCCCCACCCGGGAGGCCGUCUGCAGGCCUCGGGAGCAGAGAGCAGCGGGGACCCCUCCUCACCACGUCUCGACCCCACUCUUGACUGAUAAUGGAUUGCCAUUUGCCCAUCCGGUCCCCCCUUAGCUCACGCCUGUGCCCUCCGCCCAGCGGAAGUGCGGGAGGACCGGACGUGACCCGGUUUCCUCCCAGCUGGAAACUGGCUGCCAUGGGCGUAUUCACGUGGAAAUUGGCAAACACCGCCCAUCAGGGCUUUCACCCUCACGGGGCUGGUUGGUAAAUCUGGAUCAGCACAUCCCUGGUUAUUAGCACUUGACGCUUACUACGUUAGAUAUUGAGACUAAUCAUUAAAAACAUUUUGUUGAUGCAGUCUCGCUGAAUAACAACCAAGUGAUUAUGUGCGAACGUAAAGAACAUUUUUUGUAUUUUAUGGAAGUAGGGUUGACGUGCGGUCUGACAUUAGUCCUUAGUUUCAGGUGCCCAGCAUAGUGACCGGGCAAUUGUGUAAAAUACUCAGGGCUCGCCGCCAUCAUGUUAUUACAAUCUACUGACCGUGUUCCCCGUGCUGUACUUCCCACCCCUGUGACUCCUUUAUCUUGUAACUGGAAGUUUGUACCUCUUAAUCCCCUUUAUCUAUUUUCCCCAUCCCCCCACCCGCCUCCCCUCUCACAACCACCUGUUCUCAGUACUUACGAGUCUGUUUCUUUGUUCGUUGGUUUGGCGUUUUAGAUUCUGCGUGCGAGUGAACUCGUAUGGCUUUUGUCUUCGUGUGGCUGCCUUAUUUCACGUAGCGUAAUGGGCUGUGGUUCCAUCCGUGUUGCUGCAGGUGGCCAGGUUUCAUUCUUUUUAUGGCUGAGUAAUAUUCCCGCGUGCGCGCAUGCCCGGUCCUUCUCCGUUCCCCAACGGGUGGACGCCAGAGGGCGCUCGCACACCUUGGCUGUUGUAAAUGGUGCUGCGGUAAACUUCGGGGUGCGUGUACCUUUUCGAAUUAACGUUUUCAUUCUCUUUGGGGAAAUACCCAAUAGCAUUCCUAUUUAUAAUUUUUGAGGAACCUCCAUAUUGUUUUCCACAGUGGCUGCACAAACUUAGGUUAAUAUAAAUAGUUUUUCAUGAAAAUAACUUUUUUCCCCCAAAACGAAUUCGGCAAGAAGAGAGGUAUUGCUUUGUCUUGUGGCGAGUGUCCGGAACGGGGGGCAGGAGGAAGGGGGCCGGGCUCUGGAUGCGCUGCUGCGCCGCGGCCGCCACA
This is a long non-coding RNA of Acinonyx jubatus (cheetah), 2103 nucleotides long. RefSeq lists it as uncharacterized. Lineage: Eukaryota; Metazoa; Chordata; Mammalia; Carnivora; Felidae. The transcript is spliced from 3 exons. The record is from RefSeq and is a predicted model, not a curated record.